Molecule: long non-coding RNA, 245 nt
Organism: Daphnia pulicaria
Lineage: Eukaryota; Metazoa; Arthropoda; Branchiopoda; Diplostraca; Daphniidae
Exons: 3
Source: RefSeq, a predicted model, not a curated record
CUGGUGUAGUAGGGUAAGCUGGUUUUGGAUAGGCUGGUGUAGUAGGGUAAGCUGGUUUUGGAUAGGCUGGUGUAGUAGGGUAAGCUGGUGUAGUAGGGUAAGUUGGUUUUGGGUAGGUUGGUGUAGUAGGAUAAGCUGGUUUUGAAUAGGCUGGUGUAGUAGGGUAAGUUGGUUUUGGGUAGGUUGGUGUAGUAGGGUAAGUUGGUUUGGGGUAGGCAGGUGUAGUAGAGUAAGUUGGUUUUGGA